RNAcentral lists this ribosomal RNA (459 nucleotides) under uncultured bacterium. RNAcentral describes it as "partial 16S ribosomal RNA". It matches the Rfam family "Bacterial small subunit ribosomal RNA", at positions 338 to 795 of the family's 1533-position model. The record is from RNAcentral.
CCUACGAGUGGCAGCAGUGAGGAAUAUUGGUCAAUGGGCGCGAGCCUGAACCAGCCAAGUCGCGUGAGGGAUGACGGUCCUAUGGAUUGUAAACCUCUUUUGUCGGGGAGCAAAAGACGCCACGCGUGGCGUUCCGAGAGUACCCGAAGAAACAGCAUCGGCUAACUCCGUGCCAGCCGCCGCGGUAAUACGGAGGAUGCGGGCGGUAUCCGGAUUUAUUGGGUUUAAAGGGUGCGCAGGCGGAAGAUCAAGUCAGCGGUAAAAUUGAGAGGCUCAACCUCUUCGAGCCGUUGAAACUGGUUUUCUUGAGUGAGCGAGAAGUAUGCGGAAGGCGUGGUGUAGCGGUGAAAUGCAUAGAUAUCACGCAGAACUCCGAUUGCGAAGGCAGCAUACCGGCGCUCAACUGACGCUCAUGCACGAAAGUGUGGGUAUCGAACAGGAUUAGAGACCCCAGUAGUC